GUGCCAGCAGCCGCGGUAAUACGGAGGAUGCAAGCGUUAUCCGGAUUCAUUGGGUUUAAAGGGUGCGCAGGCGGGCUUGUAAGUCAGUGGUGAAAUAUUGUCGCUUAACGAUAAGGUUGCCAUUGAUACUGCAGGUCUUGAGUUUGGUUGAGGUAGGCGGAAUGUGCAGUGUAUCGGUGAAAUGCAUAGAGAUUGCACAGAACACCGAUUGCGAAGGCAGCUUACUAAGCCAAAACUGACGCUGAGGCACGAAAGCGUGGGGAGCGAACAGGAUUAGAUACCCUGGUAGUCCACGCCGUAAACGAUGUUCACUCGCUGUUUGCGAUAUACAGCAAGCGGCUU
This 342-nucleotide ribosomal RNA is filed under the name uncultured bacterium. Its description in RNAcentral is "bacterial SSU rRNA". It matches the Rfam family "Bacterial small subunit ribosomal RNA", at positions 505 to 849 of the family's 1533-position model. The record is from RNAcentral.